CAAUAGCGUAUAUUUAAGUUGUUGCAGUUAAAAAGCUCGUAGUUGGAUUUCGGAUGGGACUUGCCGGUCCGUCGUUUCGAUGUGCACUGGCCAGUCCUAUCUUGUUGUCGGGGACUAGCUCCUGGGCUUCACUGUCCGGGACUAGGAGCUGACGAGGUUACUUUGAGUAAAUUAGAGUGUUCAAAGCAAGCCUACGCUCUGAAUACAUUAGCAUGGAAUAACACGAUAGGACUCUGGCUUAUCUUGUUGGUCUGUGAGACCAGAGUAAUGAUUAAGAGGGACAGUCGGGGGCAUUCGUAUUUCAUUGUCAGAGGUGGAAUUCUUGGAUUUAUGAAAGACGAACUUCUGCGAAAGCAUUUGUCAAGGAUGUUUNCAUUAA
Molecule: ribosomal RNA, 379 nt
Filed under: uncultured eukaryote
Lineage: Eukaryota
Description: partial 18S ribosomal RNA
Rfam family: Eukaryotic small subunit ribosomal RNA
Source: RNAcentral